UGGGGAAUAUUGGACAAUGGGGGCAACCCUGAUCCAGCAAUGCCGCGUGUGUGAAGAAGGCCUGCGGGUUGUAAAGCACUUUUAGUGGGGACGAAAACUUGAGGACUAAUAUUCUUCAAGCUUGACUUAACCUACAGAAAAAGCACCGGCUAACUCUGUGCCAGCAGCCGCGGUAAUACAGAGGGUGCGAGCGUUUAUCGGAAUUACUGGGCGUAAAGGGUGCGUAGGUGGUUCGAUAAGUCAGAUGUGAAAUCCCUGGGCUUAACCUGGGAAUUGCAUUUGAUACUGUCAAACUAGAGUGUGGUAGAGGUAAGCGGAAUUCCCGGUGUAGCGGUGAAAUGCGUAGAUAUCGGGAGGAACAUCAGUGGCGAAGGCGGCUUACUGGACCAACACUGACACUGAGGCACGAAAGCGUGGGUAGCAAACAGG
This 429-nucleotide ribosomal RNA is filed under the name uncultured bacterium. Its description in RNAcentral is "bacterial SSU rRNA". It matches the Rfam family "Bacterial small subunit ribosomal RNA", at positions 355 to 776 of the family's 1533-position model. The record is from RNAcentral.